Molecule: long non-coding RNA, 322 nt
Filed under: Malus domestica (apple)
Lineage: Eukaryota; Viridiplantae; Streptophyta; Magnoliopsida; Rosales; Rosaceae
Description: long non-coding RNA (MDOM_LNC013572)
Source: RNAcentral
CACCGACUAGAGUAGUAAGAAGGAUGAAGGAAUAACCAAAAGGGUGAGAAGAUGAUUAGCUAAACCCCCCUUUGGUGGCCGGCCCUUUGAGUGUUGAGAGAGAUAUUUUCUUUUUCUCUUUUGUUGUUUUAACACUUCAAAAAACCCUAAUGAAACUUUUUGCUAUAAAGUUCCUUUUAUAACCAAAAAAAAACAAGUCAACAUUUGACUCUCUCUCUCCCUCCUUUGGCCGGCCCCUUUAGUGUUGUUUGGGCUUUGGGCUUUUAUUAUUUCAAGUCAUCAUAUGCUUGAAUAAAAGCCCAAUGGGUUUAGGCCCAAUGGG